Molecule: ribosomal RNA, 393 nt
Filed under: uncultured bacterium
Lineage: Bacteria
Description: partial 16S ribosomal RNA
Rfam family: Bacterial small subunit ribosomal RNA
Source: RNAcentral
AUACGGAGGAUGCGAGCGUUAUCCGGAUUUAUUGGGUUUAAAGGGAGCGUAGGUGGGAUAUUAAGUCAGCUGUGAAAGUUUGGGGCUCAACCUUAAAAUUGCAGUUGAUACUGGUUUCCUUGAGUACGGUACAGGUGGGCGGAAUUCGUGGUGUAGCGGUGAAAUGCUUAGAUAUCACGAAGAACUCCGAUCGCGAAGGCAGCUCACCGGGCCGGAACUGGCACUGAUGCUCGAAAGUGCGGGUAUCAAACAGGAUUAGAUACCCUGGUAGUCCGCACAGUAAACGAUGAAUACUCGCUGUUUGCGAUACACGGUAAGCGGCCAAGCGAAAGCGUUAAGUAUUCCACCUGGGGAGUACGCCGGCAACGGUGAAACUCAAAGGAAUUGACGGGC